Podarcis lilfordi (Lilford's wall lizard) is the source of this 70-nucleotide non-coding RNA. Lineage: Eukaryota; Metazoa; Chordata; Lepidosauria; Squamata; Lacertidae. The record is from the annotation of a GenBank genome assembly.
GCCGUGGCUCAGUGGCUCAGCGCCAGCUCUGCAGGCAGAAGGUCCCAGGGUUCAAACCCUGGCAUCUCCC